Molecule: small nuclear RNA, 190 nt
Organism: Molossus molossus (Pallas's mastiff bat)
Lineage: Eukaryota; Metazoa; Chordata; Mammalia; Chiroptera; Molossidae
Product: U2 spliceosomal RNA
Exons: 1
Source: RefSeq, a predicted model, not a curated record
AUCACUUCUCACCCUUUUGGCUAAGAUCAAAUGUAGUAUCUGUUCUUAUCAGUUUAAAAUGUCUCCAUGAAAGAACACCUGUCUAUGGAGAGAAUAUGUGCACAAAAAAUAUUUGAUGGAAGAGGAGAGUAACUCUCUUAUUCACCCUAUCAAGAACUUCCUCACUUUCAUGUUCCAUAAUGUAAAUAAA